GCGCACCAGGCGAGAAACCUUCGCAAUGCAGGAAACUGCGACGAGGGAACUCCAAGUGCCUACGCUCAGCGUAGGCUGUUCUCAAGCCUAGAAAGCUUGAGGAGUAAGGGCUGGGUAAGACGGGUGCCAUCUGUGGUAGCAGUCAAUAGAUUCGAUUUGUUACUGCAAGGCAUAAGCCGCCGCGGUAAUACCCGCAGCCCAAGUGGUGGCCGCUUUUAUGGGCCUAAAGCGUCCGUAGCCGGCCCGGCAAAUGCCUGGGGUAAAUCGUGGAGCCCAACUUCACGAAUUCCGGGUAGACUGCCGAGCUCGGGACCGGAAGAGGGAGAGGGUACUUCGAGGGGGUAGGGGUGAAAAUUUCCGUUUACCAUUAACGCUUUUGCGCGAAGCGGAAA
Molecule: ribosomal RNA, 392 nt
Filed under: uncultured microorganism
Description: bacterial SSU rRNA
Rfam family: Archaeal small subunit ribosomal RNA
Source: RNAcentral